UAUUCUCUCUCUCUCUCUCUCUCUCUCUCUUAUUUUGUCUGCCUGCGGGCUGUAGCUUUCCAUUUGUAAUGGCAGCAACUACUGCCUUCAGGUUUUUCCUUAUAGCUCCAUUUCUAGCAAUAGUUAUCCUCGGAUUCUUCUACCAAUCAUCUUCUUACGGCGUCGCUGGUAACAUCUCAGAACGAUCUCGUCAGGUGGCGCUAGUGGUGGUCAGACUCACCGGAAUCUGUUAGCUGCUACUGCUGCUCAGAGGAAACCCGAUCAGCACCUCCCAAGCUGCGGUGAAAUGGCGGGAAAGUUGCCGUGCUUGAAGAAUUCCAGAUGCCGGUGGUGCCGAAGCGAGGCACUCGAUGAUAUGUGCUUUUCUAAGUCUGAAGCUUUUCGAUUGCCCUCUCAGGUCUUCUCUUGUGAUUGAUCUCUUUCUCUCUAGUUCACUGAUUGGAACAUGUGUUGUAAUUUUAAUGGAGAUUUGUGGAUUGAAGCAUUGGGAGCAAUCUGUUCUUUUGUUGAUUAAUUUUAUGUGGUUUGGAUUGGAAAUGAGAUGCUUCUGGUUUAAUUUCGAAUUGCAACUUUAAAUUUUAGGAACUGGGAAAAUAGCUUUUGUUUGUUAGUGUGGAUCAGUGCUCUUGUCAUUAUCAUUUGGGUUAUUUUAUUCAUUUUGUUUUUUGAAGUUUUUGUUGUAUAAAAUUUAUCAUUUUCUGGUUCCAAAUAAGACAUCUGAUCUACUGGCAUGUAUACAGAUUUAGAUACACACAUACAUAUAUCUGCUGGGUUUCUUCAUAUCCGUUUUAUCAAAAUUGAUCGCAAUCUUUUUCCAUCUCCCCUUAUAGACAAACACACACACACACACACACACACACAUAUACUUACGUACAUAUGAUAUUUGUAUAAAUGAGUGCUAAAAAAUGAUCAUUUGCUUUUACUUCAUGGUUUUCGUAAAUCAAAGGAUGUGAUCCCAGGACAGAUUUAUGGAUCACGCAUGUCUGGAGAGAGGAGUAAUGCUUUGAUUUUCUCCCGUGAGUAAAGGAAUAAGAUGGAGAACAUCUGGUCAUGAGUAUCAUCUAAGUGCCACAUGGAUCUUCAUUGAAUGGUAGUAUUUCUGCUAGCUUGCUCGAAAAGCUGCAUUGCUGAGUUAGUGCCAUACUUACGAAUUUUUAAAGUUUUUUCAUAGGUAUCAUGUUGAGUUUUUUGAAUUAUACUAUAGUUCUUGAAAAAAUAUAUCGGAAAUUAUUAGCUGCAUCCUGUCUUUUAUAGGAGGCUGAAGCUAUUGAAUUUAUGAUCUUGUCUGAUGAGUUGGGUGAGUUUUGAUUCGAAAGUGAUAUAAUUAUGAAUGCUUUCAGUUUUCCUUAUUGGUAGUUUAGAUAUCUGUAGCUUCUCUGUUGUGUAAGGUGUCACUUAAGUCAUGGUAUGGAGUUAUCAGGUACAACUGUUUCUCUAUUCCUUAGUGAAGCUCCAACAGAAACAGGGUGCUCUGUAUUUAUUCAAAGCUGGUAAGCCUCUUUCACCACCUUAUGAAGUGGAAUAUACCACAUGUGUGUGUGUGGAGGUGUGUAUGCAUUUAUGUAUAAAAAUAAACAAAGAAGAAGAAAAAAGAGGAGCUGAAAGGGAGUAGUGUUAUGUGGGUAAU
RNAcentral lists this long non-coding RNA (1627 nucleotides) under Panax ginseng (ginseng). RNAcentral describes it as "long non-coding RNA (PGIN_LNC016048)". Lineage: Eukaryota; Viridiplantae; Streptophyta; Magnoliopsida; Apiales; Araliaceae. The record is from RNAcentral.